Molecule: ribosomal RNA, 723 nt
Filed under: Vibrio sp. 14C11
Lineage: Bacteria; Pseudomonadati; Pseudomonadota; Gammaproteobacteria; Vibrionales; Vibrionaceae
Description: bacterial SSU rRNA
Rfam family: Bacterial small subunit ribosomal RNA
Source: RNAcentral
ACGCUGGCGGCAGGCCUAACACAUGCAAGUCGAGCGGAAACGACACUAACAAUCCUUCGGGUGCGUUAAUGGGCGUCGAGCGGCGGACGGGUGAGUAAUGCCUAGGAAAUUGCCUUGAUGUGGGGGAUAACCAUUGGAAACGAUGGCUAAUACCGCAUAAUGCCUACGGGCCAAAGAGGGGGACCUUCGGGCCUCUCGCGUCAAGAUAUGCCUAGGUGGGAUUAGCUAGUUGGUGAGGUAAUGGCUCACCAAGGCGACGAUCCCUAGCUGGUCUGAGAGGAUGAUCAGCCACACUGGAACUGAGACACGGUCCAGACUCCUACGGGAGGCAGCAGUGGGGAAUAUUGCACAAUGGGCGAAAGCCUGAUGCAGCCAUGCCGCGUGUAUGAAGAAGGCCUUCGGGUUGUAAAGUACUUUCAGUUGUGAGGAAGGGGGUARKYUUAAUAGCKSYRYMUCUUGACGUUAGCAACAGAAGAAGCACCGGCUAACUCCGUGCCAGCAGCCGCGGUAAUACGGAGGGUGCGAGCGUUAAUCGGAAUUACUGGGCGUAAAGCGCAUGCAGGUGGUUCAUUAAGUCAGAUGUGAAAGCCCGGGGCUCAACCUCGGAACUGCAUUUGAAACUGGUGAACUAGAGUACUGUAGAGGGGGGUAGAAUUUCAGGUGUAGCGGUGAAAUGCGUAGAGAUCUGAAGGAAUACCAGUGGCGAAGGCGGCCCCCUGGACA